CAGGAUGAACGCUAGCUACAGGCUUAACACAUGCAAGUCGAGGGGCAGCAUGACGAUAGCUUGCUAUUGUUGAUGGCGACCGGCGCACGGGUGAGUAACGCGUAUCCAACCUGCCCUUGUCCAUCGGAUAACCCGUCGAAAGGCGGCCUAACACGAUAUGCAGUUCUCAGCAGGCAUCUAACGAGAACGAAAUGUGAAGGAGAAGGAUGGGGAUGCGUCUGAUUAGCUUGUUGGCGGGGUAACGGCCCACCAAGGCAACGAUCAGUAGGGGUUCUGAGAGGAAGGUCCCCCACAUUGGAACUGAGACACGGUCCAAACUCCUACGGGAGGCAGCAGUGAGGAAUAUUGGUCAAUGGACGGAAGUCUGAACCAGCCAAGUAGCGUGCAGGAUGACGGCCCUAUGGGUUGUAAACUGCUUUUAUACGGGGAUAAAGUGAGCCACGUGUGGCUUAUUGCAGGUACCGUAUGAAUAAGGACCGGCUAAUUCCGUGCCAGCAGCCGCGGUAAUACGGAAGGUCCGGGCGUUAUCCGGAUUUAUUGGGUUUAAAGGGAGCGUAGGCCGUUUGUUAAGCGUGUUGUGAAAUGUCGGGGCUUAACCUGGGCAUUGCAGCGCGAACUGGCAGACUUGAGUGCGCGGGAAGUAGGCGGAAUUCGUCGUGUAGCGGUGAAAUGCUUAGAUAUGACGAAGAACUCCGAUUACGAAGGCAGCCUGCUGUAGCGUAACUGACGCUGAAGCUCGAAAGCGUGGGUAUCGAACAGGAUUAGAUACCCUGGUAGUCCACGCGGUAAACGAUGGAUGCUCGCUGUUUGCGUCUGACGUAAGCGGCCAAGCGAAAGCGUUAAGCAUCCCACCUGGGGAGUACGCCGGCAACGGUGAAACUCAAAGGAAUUGACGGAAGG
Molecule: ribosomal RNA, 900 nt
Filed under: uncultured bacterium
Lineage: Bacteria
Description: bacterial SSU rRNA
Rfam family: Bacterial small subunit ribosomal RNA
Source: RNAcentral